GUGCUAUACUGCAGUCGAGCGAGCUGAAUUCAAAGAUUCCUUCGGGGUGAUUUGUUGGACGCUAGCGGCGGAUGGGUGAGUAACACGUGGGCAAUCUGCCCUAAAGACUGGGAUACCACUUGGAAACAGGUGCUAAUACCGGAUAACAACAUGAAUCGCAUGAUUCAAGUUUGAAAGGCGGCGUAAGCUGUCACUUUAGGAUGAGCCCGCGGCGCAUUAGCUAGUUGGUGGGGUAAAGGCCUACCAAGGCAAUGAUGCGUAGCCGAGUUGAGAGACUGAUCGGCCACAUUGGGACUGAGACACGGCCCAAACUCCUACGGGAGGCAGCAGUAGGGAAUCUUCCACAAUGGACGCAAGUCUGAUGGAGCAACGCCGCGUGAGUGAAGAAGGUUUUCGGAUCGUAAAGCUCUGUUGUUGGUGAAGAAGGAUAGAGGCAGUAACUGGUCUUUAUUUGACGGUAAUCAACCAGAAAGUCACGGCUAACUACGUGCCAGCAGCCGCGGUAAUACGUAGGUGGCAAGCGUUGUCCGGAUUUAUUGGGCGUAAAGCGAGCGCAGGCGGAAUGAUAAGUCUGAUGUGAAAGCCCACGGCUCAACCGUGGAACUGCAUCGGAAACUGUCAUUCUUGAGUGCAGAAGAGGAGAGUGGAAUUCCAUGUGUAGCGGUGGAAUGCGUAGAUAUAUGGAAGAACACCAGUGGCGAAGGCGGCUCUCUGGUCUGCAACUGACGCUGAGGCUCGAAAGCAUGGGUAGCGAACAGGAUUAGAUACCCUGGUAGUCCAUGCCGUAAACGAUGAGCGCUAGGUGUUGGGGACUUUCCGGUCCUCAGUGCCGCAGCAAACGCAUUAAGCGCUCCGCCUGGGGAGUACGACCGCAAGGUUGAAACUCAAAGGAAUUGACGGGGGCCCGCACAAGCGGUGGAGCAUGUGGUUUAAUUCGAAGCAACGCGAAGAACCUUACCAGUCUUGACAUCCUGCGCUACACCUAGAGAUAGUGGUUCCUUCGGGACGCAGAGACAGUGUGCAUGCUGUCGUCAGCUCGUGUCGUGAGAUGUUGGGUAGUCCCGCACGAGCGCACCCUGUCUUAGUGCAUCAUAGUGGGCACUCUAAGAGACUGCGUGACAACGAGAAGGUGGGGAUGACGUCAGUCA
Molecule: ribosomal RNA, 1148 nt
Filed under: Lactobacillus delbrueckii subsp. bulgaricus
Lineage: Bacteria; Bacillati; Bacillota; Bacilli; Lactobacillales; Lactobacillaceae
Description: bacterial SSU rRNA
Rfam family: Bacterial small subunit ribosomal RNA
Source: RNAcentral